Long non-coding RNA from Cyprinus carpio (common carp), 379 nucleotides. RefSeq lists it as uncharacterized. The transcript is spliced from 3 exons. The record is from RefSeq and is a predicted model, not a curated record. Lineage: Eukaryota; Metazoa; Chordata; Actinopteri; Cypriniformes; Cyprinidae.
CCAUAGUGGUGUCCUGCUGAAGCAAUGGACACCAGAAGCAGAAGAUUCAACACCACAGCCGAGGACAUCAUGGUACCUGAGCCCCUGAGCUCACUUCACCUGUGAGACGAACCUGAGGAGCUGCUUUUAUACAUCUCAGACAAUCACUCCACACACCAUGGCUACUGUUGCCACAAGACAAACAGCGACGACAACAAGGUUUAGAUUCAGACCCGGGCUUACGGUGACCUCUGAAAUCCGCAGGGGCCCCUGGGAGAUGACGUGACUGCCGGUCUGGAUGGGAGCCUCUCUUCUGUGAUGGUGGUGGGCCGGUGGAGCGACUGUGCUGUUGAUGCAGCCCUGAGAGCAGCGGGUGUAGGGAUUGUUGGCCUCGCAUAUG